CCUACGGGAGGCAGCAGUGAGGAAUAUUGGUCAAUGGACGAGAGUCUGAACCAGCCAAGUAGCGUGAAGGAUGACUGCCCUAUGGGUUGUAAACUUCUUUUAUAAAGGAAUAAAACGAGGCACGUGUGCCUUUUUGCAUGUACUUUAUGAAUAAGGAUCGGCUAACUCCGUGCCAGCAGCCGAGGUAAUACGGAGGAUCCGAGCGUUAUCCGGAUUUGUUGGGUUUAAAGGGAGCGUAGAUGGGUUGUUAAGUCAGUUGUGAAAGUUUGCGGCUCAACCGUAAAAUUGCAAUUGAUACUGGCAGUCUUGAGUACAGUUGAGGUAGGCGGAAUUCGUGGUGUAGCGGUGAAAUGCUUAGAUAUCACGAAGAACCCCGAUUGCGAAGGCAGCUUACUAAACUGUGACUGACAUUGAUGCUCGAAAGUGUGGGUAUCAAACAGGAUUAGAUACCCGGGUAGUC
This 460-nucleotide ribosomal RNA is filed under the name uncultured bacterium. Its description in RNAcentral is "partial 16S ribosomal RNA". It matches the Rfam family "Bacterial small subunit ribosomal RNA", at positions 338 to 795 of the family's 1533-position model. The record is from RNAcentral.